AGUGAACGCUGGCGGUAGGCCUAACACAUGCAAGUCGAACGGCAGCACAGUAAGAGCUUGCUCUUACGGGUGGCGAGUGGCGGACGGGUGAGGAAUACAUCGGAAUCUACCUUUUCGUGGGGGAUAACGUAGGGAAACUUACGCUAAUACCGCAUACGACCUACGGGUGAAAGCAGGGGAUCUUCGGACCUUGCGCGAUUGAAUGAGCCGAUGUCGGAUUAGCUAGUUGGCGGGGUAAAGGCCCACCAAGGCGACGAUCCGUAGCUGGUCUGAGAGGAUGAUCAGCCACACUGGAGCUGAGACACGGUCCAGACUCCUACGGGAGGCAGCAGUGGGGAAUAUUGGACAAUGGGCGCAAGCCUGAUCCAGCCAUACCGCGUGGGUGAAGAAGGCCUUCGGGUUGUAAAGCCCUUUUGUUGGGAAAGAAAAGCAGCAGGUUAAUACCCCGCUGUUCUGACGGUACCCAAAGGAUAAGCACCGGCUAACUUCGUG
RNAcentral lists this ribosomal RNA (492 nucleotides) under uncultured bacterium. RNAcentral describes it as "partial 16S ribosomal RNA". It matches the Rfam family "Bacterial small subunit ribosomal RNA", at positions 29 to 507 of the family's 1533-position model. The record is from RNAcentral.